This 425-nucleotide ribosomal RNA is filed under the name uncultured bacterium. RNAcentral describes it as "partial 16S ribosomal RNA". It matches the Rfam family "Bacterial small subunit ribosomal RNA", at positions 354 to 796 of the family's 1533-position model. The record is from RNAcentral.
GUGGGGAAUCUUGCGCAAUGGGCGAAAGCCUGACGCAGCCAUGCCGCGUGAAUGAUGAAGGUCUUAGGAUUGUAAAAUUCUUUCACCGGGGACGAUAAUGACGGUACCCGGAGAAGAAGCCCCGGCUAACUUCGUGCCAGCAGCCGCGGUAAUACGAAGGGGGCUAGCGUUGCUCGGAAUUACUGGGCGUAAAGGGCGCGUAGGCGGACAGUUUAGUCAGAGGUGAAAGCCCAGGGCUCAACCUUGGAAUUGCCUUUGAUACUGGCUGUCUUGAGUACGGGAGAGGUGAGUGGAACUCCGGGUGUAGAGGUGAAAUUCGUAGAUAUUCGGAAGAACACCAGUGGCGAAGGCGACUCACUGGCCCGUUACUGACGCUGAGGCGCGAAAGCGUGGGGAGCAAACAGGAUUAGAAACCCCUGUAGUCC